AAAUUGACUCACAGUUCUGCGUGGCUGGGGAGGCCUCAGGAAACUUGCAAUCAUGGCGGAAGGCACCUCUUCACACGGGCGGCUGGAGAGAGAAUGAGUGCUAGCAGGGGAAGUGCUGACACUUAUAAAUUAGAUCUUUUGAGACUCACUCAUUACCACGAGAACAGCACAGGCAAAACCACUCCCCUCUGAUUCAAUUGCUUCCACCUGGUCCUGCCCUUGACGGGUGGGGUUUAUUACAACUUAAGAAGAGAUUUCCAUGGGGAAGCAGAGCCAAACCAUAUCACCUUCUAAGCACAGAGUGUCUCUGCUUGGAAUUCCACUGGGCACUGUCUUAUCUGAUUGACACCAUCAUCGUUCACAUGUUUCAUUAUGUCAUUCAAUACCAGAAUCUACUCAAACGCACCUCCAAUACCACAGAUUUUUCUAUUCUAUGGGAUAAAUCAUCUGCAAACUUUCUAGUAUACCAAAGCUGUUUCCAUUGCUUUCCAAAAUUGGAGAUGUGUAUCUUUUCCCAUGAUAACAAAAUUUACUUUUAGCAAUUCGGUUAUAUCUAUUUAUAUUGUCACUUUCUAACUACUUCUACUUCUUCUACAGAGGAAUAAUUAACACAUCUAAAUGAUAAAACAUCAAUCUGUGCUUAGAAUUUUCCCCAAAUAUUUGCAAGUAAGAGGCCAUACAAAGUAAGAGGUCUAAAUCUGUUAACUUUCAUAGCAUACAACUAAUAAGUAUUUUUUAAAUGCUGAUAAACAUUUUAAUGCACGGUUUUUAAAACCAUCAAGCUUCAUACAUAUAAUGUUUAUUAAAAAUUAUAGAAAUAGCGGUGGCUCAUGCCUGUAAUCCCAGCACUUUGGGAGGCUGAGGCGGGUGGAUCACGAGGUCAAGAGAUCGAGACCAUCCUGGUCAACAUGGUGAAACCCCCGUCUCUACUAAAAAAAAAAAAAAAAAUACAAAAAAUUAGCUGGGCAUGGUGGCACGUGCCUGUAAUCCCAGCUACUCAGGAGGCUGAGGCAGGAGAAUUGCCUGAACCCAGGAGGCGGAGGUUGCGGUGAGCCAAGAUCGCGCCAUUGCACUCCAGCCUGGGUACCAAGCGUGAAACUUCGUCUCAAAAAAAAAAAAAAAAAAAAAAAACAGAGAUCAAUUCAAUAUGAGGAAAGAUGCAGGCAGGCCUGCCUCCAAAUCAGCUGGACUCUUGUUUAUGCCAAUAAUCCCCAAAACAAAAGGCCUUACACUAUGUGGAAUAUUACUUCAGACUCCACUGUUCUUUUCUUCAUUAUGUCUUUCAUGUAAUAAGAAAAACUACAAAAUAUAUGAAACAAGCAAGAAAAUAUGACCCAAAAGGAAGGGGGAAAACGCAACCAAUUGGUGAGACUCACACUUGACCCAGAUUCCAUCAUGAGAAGCUAUAGGAAGACAAAUAAAUUAAAACCAAAAUAAGUUGAAUAUAGAAAAUAGAAAAGAUAAAAUCAGCAAUCACUGAAGUUUUUUAAAAGUCAAUUACAGAGGAAACUAACAAAACCCAACAUUUUCCUCCAAAAUAAUCAUUAAAAUACUUAAACAGCUAAUGAGAAUAAAUAAGAAAAAAGAAAGUGCCAGUUAUCAACAUCGUGAAUAAACAGAGGAUUCCACUGCACAUUAAGAAGGGUAACUGUAUGAUAUUAAGAAUGCCUUUAUGCCAAUAAAUUCAACAACUAAG
This is a long non-coding RNA of Callithrix jacchus (white-tufted-ear marmoset), 1696 nucleotides long. NCBI's taxonomy places the organism in Eukaryota, Metazoa, Chordata, Mammalia, Primates, Cebidae. The record is from Ensembl.